GGUAUUCUAUGACAGAAUGCAAAGGACACUGAGAUGCUUACCAAUAUGGCUGAAUUAAGCUGAAGUCACCCUCCGCUUUCCCUCCAUUUCCAUGCAGCCAUCUAUACAACCUGGUAUAGAUGAUUCAUUGCAUAGCCUACAGAAGCAAGACUAUGUGCGGGACAAGUGGCGAAGGCUCAAGAAAUAACAUUUUUCUAAUUGCUUCAAUCAUCGUUAUCACAGUUUCAACCACACCACGGGC
This 241-nucleotide long non-coding RNA is filed under the name Homo sapiens (human). Its description in RNAcentral is "long non-coding RNA NONHSAT159015". Lineage: Eukaryota; Metazoa; Chordata; Mammalia; Primates; Hominidae. The record is from RNAcentral.